RNAcentral lists this small nucleolar RNA (124 nucleotides) under Tursiops truncatus (common bottlenose dolphin). The record is from RNAcentral. Lineage: Eukaryota; Metazoa; Chordata; Mammalia; Artiodactyla; Delphinidae.
CUUGUCCUUUGUCCAUUUUCUAUUAAAGAGAUUAGCGUUGGAAACGCCCCAUAGAGUAACUGUGUGGUUUCCUUUAUUCAUAGAAUUACCUGUUAGAUCUGUGGGAAAGAACUACAAGACAGAG